RNAcentral lists this ribosomal RNA (935 nucleotides) under Praeacanthonchus punctatus. Its description in RNAcentral is "SSU rRNA". It matches the Rfam family "Eukaryotic small subunit ribosomal RNA", at positions 51 to 1006 of the family's 1831-position model. The record is from RNAcentral. Lineage: Eukaryota; Metazoa; Nematoda; Chromadorea; Chromadorida; Cyatholaimidae.
AUGCAUGUCUAAGCAUAAGCCGAUAAAUGGUGAAGCCGCGAAUAGCUCAUUACAACAGCCAUAGUUUAUUGGAUCUUCUCUCUACUUGGAUACCUGUGGUAAUUCUAGAGCUAAUACACGCACGAAAGCCUCGACUUCGGAAGGGGCGCAUUUAUUAGAACAAAACCAAUCGGGCUUGCCCGUCKUUUGGUGAAUCUGAAUAACUCAGUUGAUCGCACAGUCCUCGAACUGGCGACGUAUCUUUCAAGUGUCUGCCUUAUCAACUUUCGAUGGUAGUUUACAUGACUACCAUGGUUGUAACGGGUAACGGAGAAUAAGGGUUCGACUCCGGAGAGGGAGCCUGAGAAACGGCUACCACAUCCAAGGAAGGCAGCAGGCGCGCAAAUUACCCACUCUCAGUACGAGGAGGUAGUGACGAAAAAUAACGAGACGGUUCUCUAUGAGGUCCGUCAUCGGAAUGGGUACAAUUUAAACCCUUUAACGAGGAUCUAUUGGAGGGCAAGUCUGGUGCCAGCAGCCGCGGUAAUUCCAGCUCCAAUAGCGUAUACUAAAGUUGUUGCGGUUAAAAAGCUCGUAGUUGGAUCUGCGGUCUCGCGUGCCGGUGAAUCCUCAGGAUUUUACUGGUUUCGCAGGCCUACCUCGCUGGUUUUCCCUUGGUCCUCUUUACUGAGUGCCYUGGGUGACCAGCAAGUUUACUUUGAAAAAAUUAGAGUGCUCAAAGCAGGCGCGUAGCCUGAAUAGUGGUGCAUGGAAUAAUGGAAUAGGACCUUGGUUCUAUUUUGUUGGUUUUCGGAACGCGAGGUAAUGAUUAAGAGGGACAGACGGGGGCAUUCGUAUUGCUGCGUUAGAGGUGAAAUUCUUGGAUCGCAGCAAGACGGACAACUGCGAAAGCAUUUGCCAAGAAUGUUUUCAUUAAUCAAGAACGAAAGUUAGAG